GCCGAGUCUGCCUUCGGGCAGGCGACACCCGCCUGUAGCUGGAAGGUUCCCCCGGGUCUCCGGGGGCAACGAUCAGCUGCUGCACGCCCGGGGCGUGCAGUUCACAGAUCAAACGCGGGCGGCCUGCGCCCGCAGGUUGAGAUAUGACCGUAGCAGCUCCGCCAGGAGCCUGGCAUGCUAGUUCCGUAGGUGAACCUGCGGAAGGAUCAUUA
This 212-nucleotide ribosomal RNA is filed under the name Caloplaca stillicidiorum. RNAcentral's name for it is "partial 18S ribosomal RNA". Lineage: Eukaryota; Fungi; Ascomycota; Lecanoromycetes; Teloschistales; Teloschistaceae. The record is from RNAcentral.